UGUCCUCAGGAAUGUACCACACUGCAGGUUCCACCACCGCUUGUCCUCAGGAAUGUAUCAAACUGCAGGUUCCACCACCGCUUGUCCUCAGGAAUGUACCACACUGCAGGUUCCACCACCGCUUGUCCUCAGGAAUGUAUCACAC
Molecule: long non-coding RNA, 145 nt
Organism: Oncorhynchus keta (chum salmon)
Lineage: Eukaryota; Metazoa; Chordata; Actinopteri; Salmoniformes; Salmonidae
Exons: 3
Source: RefSeq, a predicted model, not a curated record